UCAUGAUCCAUGAGUCAGGUCUGUGAGUGCUGGGAUGAUGUAAGGUGAUGACGAAGAUGUGUGACAGUACUGCCGACGCUGGUAUAUGUGUAUGUCUCUGGAGGUUAAAAUAAAACUCGAGGUGUUCAGCCCCAGUCCGGUUUGAAAGGUUUGGGGACUAAAGCAUGUGGCACAUGUUAUGGCGUCUGUUUAAUUUGGAUGCUUCUACCAGAUUCAUUUUGUGCCAAAUGUUUGAUUGGAAACAGCUUUUGAUGUCAACAACAGAAGAUAUGGGGAACCUUUUUCUUCACUGUUAACAUUUGGUGAGCCUUUUUAUUUUUUGCUAUUCUGUUCUGUGCACAUACGAUCAUUUCCCCUGCUGUUUUUCUCCUCAGAACAGACCUGUGUCCCACCACUUGAGACCUACUUUGAUAGAUUACCUCAGACAAGGUUCCCUUUUCCUGUUUCUCUUUCUCGUUUCUUUUCUUCAUGAGCUCUGUCUUUUGUUACUCUAGCAGCGCGCUGACGUAUUUCCUCCACCCCGAUGCAGCCUAACCGUGCAUCUGUGAUUGUUUCUCUAAAAGUAUUUUGAGUAAGAGCGAUGGAAAGGGUGCUCAUUUGUGUGUGCGUACUUUCACGUGUGGAUAAGAUAGAUGGGAAGGAAAAGGGAAUUAAAGAGUGGGAGGAAUAACAUUUCUUUGCAGUCUGCGAUAUGGAAAGUCUCCUUGUCUUGCAGGUGCAUUGUAGAGAUAAGAGGAAGAAAAGGAGGAAGAGAGAGAGAGAGGGAAACCGCAUGUGUGCAGCACAUGAAACAUCCAACUGAAAGAGGUUGAAAAGGAGAAAAUAAUCAGACAUUACACAACACUUCCUGAGUUUCCCUCUGUGCAGGAAUGAAAGCCUGGAAAUUCCACGGUGAGCGUAACGGACAGAUAUGUUAGCAAUCAUGUCCCAAAAUCCAAAAAGAGACUUUAUUCCACUGCCGUUUAACACGUGUGGCAGAGCAAUCCUGCUCUGCACCGAAACGCAAGAGGACAUGUUACAUCACAGCCCUGUCCUCAUGCCUCACUGACUCACAUUUGCCACUUGAUGGCAACUGUUGCUUCAACUCAACCGAGCUGAGUUAUAACUAGCUUGAUUAAGGUAUUUAUGUCGAGAGCUCAGAAGGAAAGGCCUUAAGAGCAUGGCUUGUCCUCUGUCCCAUUGAAGAUAGUAGAUCUCUUCCAAAACCUAGUGAUCUGCCUAGGUAGUAUUUUCAGACAUAAGCCCGCUCCUGACAUGAAGACUGCUCUAACAGGCAGGUCAUAUUAAUUCUGGGUGGCGUACACAAGACGACUGUAGGAAUGUGUUGUCUGCUAAACAUUUUUGAUGCUGCUUUCAUAUAUUUUGAAAUACAGUUAUGAUAUAAAAAUAUUCAUAUGCUGAAGUACGUUUUUUUGUUCUGCCUAGCAAAUUCAAAGACAGCACUGCUGUGAAUGCAUCACAGAUGAGGCAAACCCAGAAUGCAUUGCAGCAAGUGCAUUAAAUUCAAACAAAAUGAGAUCAAGGCGAGAGGUGUUCCAAUUAACAGGGUUCUUACAAAGUGUUCAUUGCUCCCUUCACUUCACUUGAAAAAAAAAAUGUGUUCAUUCAUAAGACCCACUACAAUUAAGUUGCGCAUAUAAGAGGAGUUUAAGGUUAAAUCACAUAAUAUAUAAUCACAUAAUAUACUUCUGUAAAUAAAUGUAAUAUAAAUUACUAUAUAUAUUUGACAAUGACAUUUUUGCUAAAUAUUUGUAGGCCUACUGUAAAUGUUCAUAAGUAAUAAAAUAUUGCAUUGUGUUAUUAGCUUAGAAGUCCAUUGUGCUUUGCAUAAGGAACACAAUUUGUAUAACAGACCAAGUUGUUAUCUGUGUAGAGCAGUUUUCGGUUGAGGAUUUCAGUUUGGAAAAUGCAGAAGGAAGCUGCCUAUGCACUGUAAGAAAGAAAACUAAAUCCAUAGAAAGACAGACAAUGUCCUAGCAGAAAAUUACCAGUAGCUUUAUGUGGUAAACUGCAUGAAAACAGAUCAAAAAUGUCUUUCAUCAGAAAGAUUUGGCUAACUAUCUUUCUUGGUGUAAUUAACUGCUGCAUUUGAAUAAAAGGUUGUCCGCUUGUUCUUUGUAUGUGCUUUAUGAUUGAUCUGCAGACUAGUGCACUCAUCUGAGUUGUACAUUCAGUGAGUUCCCAGGGCUUACUGGAUUUGAGAUGUCUGAGUCCUGUCAGUUUUCAUUUACACAGACAUGAAGACGCGUCCCUUCAGAGAUGAAUCAUGUCUGUUUGUUUGAGGGUUGGAUCUAUAUUAGCAUGCCGUCUUCUUGACUCACCGCCUGCUCUGCACAUGCCAUGCCUACAAACACUUGUUCCUUAAAUUUAAACCAUGAGUUUCAGUAAGACUUCUAACAGUUCAAUAAAACAACAAAGACUUCCCUUUCCAGAUUAUUUGACCUGGAUUUUGAGAUAAAAUGUGACUUCCACGAAACCUGUAAAUUACACCGCUGCAGUCCUUACCAGCACAGCAACCCACAGCCCACAGCUAAUGAUGCCCAGCUGCUUCCUCCUUUCUUUGCACGUUAAGUGUGAACUAUUAUCUUUUGUCUUCUUUCCCAUCGCUGUAACAGUGCACACCUGUGCUAAAUGCAGUUGUUUUUGUUUCUAUUUAGCGAUUGUGUAUUUGUUCACUUGAAGAAAAAUAUAUGUAUAACACCUUACUAUGGGCAUUGUGUUCGGUUAGAUUAGUGGGUGCAUCUCCCUUUAACAUGCCCAGAUCACAUAUAAAAAAUAAAAUACAUUUAGAUGCUGCAUGGAAACCAUUAACAUUUGUAGGAUAAAAAAAAAAAAAAUUCAUAUGUGUUUGACAGUGUAGCACAGUUAUCCCCAAAUUCUCAUUGCAAUAAUGUGUUUUCCAAUUUGUAUUUUUUUAUUUUAAUUAUUUAUUAAAUAUAAAUCCGUUGAAGUUGAAUGCAGUCCAAACAAUACCACUGUCGUAUACAUUUAAUUGUCAUGAAAAUAUAAAGGAUUCUGCCACCAUUUACUCAACCUCACGUUGUUCCAAACCUGAAUGACUUUCGGUCAAAUAUAAAAUGAGAUAGAAUAUGUGAUAUAAAAUAGAUUUUUUUUUGUGAAGUGUCUAAUUUGUGUGUGUGUGUGUGUGUAUCUAUACAAUUAAAGUACUUUUUUCAAUUCAAAAUGAUUUUUCUUCCCACUUUUCUUCAAAAUAUCCUCUUUCCUGCAGAAUUAAUUGGCUAAUAUAGGUUUGGCAUGACACGAGGGUUAGUAAAUGAUGACAAAAUGUACAUUUUUGUGUGAACUAUCCAUAUUAUUACCAAUGACUAUUAAUUCUAAUAGUUUUAAAAAGGCUUAUUUAUUUAUGUAUGCAUGCAUGUAUGCAAAAUAUGACCCAGACAAGUUUUUGACAAGUUGCAUGAGAUUUCACACACUUGUAGAUGUGGUCUUUUAUGUCUCUCAUUUAUAUUUCAGCUUACCACGUAUCUGUGUUUGGCAGGUGACUUCAGCAUAGCAUUCUGUCUUUUUAUCUGCACUCAGGUAUGUGUGUUUGUGUGUGUGUGUGUGUGUGUGUGGCCUCUACACUGACACUCUCACCAUUGGAGCCAAAAUGCCAGAGCCCCUGUUAAUCUUAUCAUCACAAUGUAUCUGCUGCUGUGGCUCUGACAGAUCAGGCAGAGGAGGGGUGGCUAAGACGGAGCGCUCGCAGUGACAUCAGGCUUUAUCUGCUCACAGCUCUCUGACGCCAGCCCAGCCAGUUCUCACGUGUCGAGGAGAGGAGAUGAUUAACACCGGCUGCUUUAUUGCGUGCACACUUACGCACAAACGCUCACACAUAGUCAGACAUGCUGAUGCAAACAAACACACCUCUGCUGGAUGCAGCAUCUCUGAGUCCGGGACGACAGACAGCACCACACCAAAUUAUAUUAAAUCAAGAACAGCAGACUUAUUCAAGCAAUUAAUUUUAUUUACAUGAAAAGGGAUAACCCACAAGAAAAAAAUUUAAUCUCUUAAUAAAAAAAUGUAUUAAUGGCUUAAUUGCUUUUCCUAGGCAGUGAUGAGAUUAAAAUGAAAAUGCCUUCUGCUUUUGUCAUAUUUCUCAUGAAAAUUAUACAUGUAUACCGUUUAAACAUAUGGAUCGUUAGUGUUUGUUUGUUUUUGAAAUGAAAGACUGAAUAGAAAUACAGUAAAAACAGUAUAAUACUGUUAGAUUAAUUUAUUCCUGUGAUGAUAAAGUUGAAGCAUCAUUACUCACAUGACACUAUGCUGAUCUGCUCCAGUAUAAAACAGUUGUGCUGCUGAAUAUUUCUUUUGUGAAAACCUUUCCUUUUUUCCAGUACUCAAUACAAAAUUCUAAAGAACAGCGUAUACCUGAAAUUGAAAUAUUUAGUAACAUCAUAAAUACCAUAACUUUCACUUUUGGUCUUUUAAAUGCAAAACAAACAAAUAUAAAAAUAAACUCACUGACCUCAGAUUUUCUAGAGAUUCCUUUGGAAUCUGAUUCAAAUUUUGUCAGAUUUGCCAGAAAACCAUUCAGCAUAAAUACAUAUGUAACCAAGUAACCGUUUCUACUCCAUUUGAAGGUAAUAUUUUCCUCAUUAAGAACUAAUGGUAAAUAAUAUCUUCCUAUUUGUUUAAAACCUCAUAUCAGCUAACAAAUUCAUUAAAUUGUUGCUUUAAGGAAAAACACCUGAGACAAAGUUGGCUAUUAAAUUGACUAUUGAUGUGAAGAAGCUAUAA
Long non-coding RNA from Carassius gibelio (silver crucian carp), 4740 nucleotides. RefSeq lists it as uncharacterized. The record is from RefSeq and is a predicted model, not a curated record. The transcript is spliced from 3 exons. Lineage: Eukaryota; Metazoa; Chordata; Actinopteri; Cypriniformes; Cyprinidae.